CUGGAAUCUCCAACAAGACUCUCUCAGACAAACAGAGGAAAACACAGAUGGAACCUUUACAACUAAAAUCCAGGAGAACAUCACUCUGUCAGACACUCAUGAUGGAUACAACAUCACAUGUUCUGCCAGAUAUCCUGUGAUUGGAGGAAACAAGACAGUAGAGACAGAAGUGACUCUCAUUGUUUCUUGUAAGUGAUCCUAUCAGCAGGUCAUGGUUCAGCUGUUUCUGAUCAAUAAAGUUCAUGUGUCUCAUUUUCCUCAGAUGCUCCUAGAAACACCUCAGCAUCCAUCAGUCCAUCAGGUUUGGUGCCAGCAGGUAUCUGGGUGGAGCUGAGCUGCUCCAGCAGAGCCAAACCUCCACCCAGAUUCACCUGGAUCUGGAUCAGCAAACAUGGAGCCAUUAAUGUGUCUGUGGGGCCGAUUUACAGCUUCAACGCCACUGAGCGAGGAAAAUAUCACUGUUUGGCCACAAAUCAUCUGGGGAAUGAGAGAUCAUCAGGGAUCGUUCUGAGGUUUGAAGUUUCGUCGCAGCAAUCUGAACACUGGGUGGAAAUUUGCACUGGAAUCAUUACCAUCAUCGUUCUUGUUGUCUGUAUUUGAAUUUCUUUCGCAGUGCUAUAGUUUGCUGGAGGAGAAAAAAGAGGACAGAUGCAGCCGUACCACGGCGACAGAUUGAAAAUAGUAAAGAGUCUACAAGAAGCACUAAAGAGGAAGAAAAAGAACAAACCCUCCAUUAUGGAGAGAUUCAGUUUCUAAAGCGAAGCCCUGAACCAUCCAACUGCAGAGUGGACGGUUCAGACACAGUCUACUCUCAGGUUAAAGUACUUGAGCCAGCAAGUCGUUUGAGGCAAAUGGCUGAUGACCCAGAAUGCCUCAAUGCUCAAGUAAGACAUUAGUGAUUUUAGAUUUAUUUUUAUUUCUACUGGUUUCUGUGUAGUUUAAUCCUUUUCAAAAUACCUCAUGUACAAAAAGGGCACCUGAAUGUGUGAAUGCAAUACUUACACUUCCUCAACAGGAAACUUGAACUUUCACACUUCAGCUUUUCUUUUUCUUUUUUCAGAAGAAUAUACACAGAUGUAUGCAAA
This is a non-coding RNA of Poecilia reticulata (guppy), 1085 nucleotides long. NCBI's taxonomy places the organism in Eukaryota, Metazoa, Chordata, Actinopteri, Cyprinodontiformes, Poeciliidae. The record is from RefSeq and is a predicted model, not a curated record.